CCAGGGCGCUGCGCCUCCCCCUUUCGUCCCCGCCCGCGACCCUGGGCGAGUCACGUCUGUGCCUCGGUUGCCCUACGGGUAAAGCGGGUUAGUAAGCGUACCUACUUCAUCUGCCCUCGUGAGGUUGCGGCGAGGAUGGAGUUAACUUGCCUAAAGGGCUUGAUGAAUCCCUGGCGAGUGGGCCGUGUUCGCUAAAGGUUGCCUUUUCCUAGCUUGUGGUACCGAGGGUACAGCGGUCCGCUGUCCGCCCCGGGUAGAGUGUAGGGGGGGGGAUCAAAGGACCCAGACCAUGGUCUCUAGACCUGCCGCCUACCAUGUGGUCUUGACCUCGCUGAGGCAGCUUUCCUCACCUGCUCCACACGCUUGCAGGAGGGGCGUGGAGCCAGAGGCACUGAACGCUCUGGAAGGAACAGGCAGGGGCACCGGUGAGAUGCUGGCAGGUGCUGCAAGAAGCCAGUGUGUUUUCACUGCAGACGGACACCAGCACACAUCCACGCCUCCUGCACCGCACUGUGUGGCCCAUCCCCGAUGAUGGACCAGCUCAAGACUAUGGCUCAAGCCAUUUGUCCUGGGCGUGUUCCAGAAGGAGCAGAGCCCCCGAUGUCAAGCAGGACAGUGGAGCACUUGCAGACAUUCAGGAAAGACCAGGAACAACCAGGAAUGACCAGACCUUCCAUCCUCUGUGGACACCCUCCCGGGUGGUGAUUCAGGGAAUAAAGGAACUGCAAACAGUGGUAGAGAUUCGAAU
This 748-nucleotide long non-coding RNA is filed under the name Sus scrofa (pig). RNAcentral's name for it is "lncRNA (ENSSSCG00070026545.1)". The record is from RNAcentral. Lineage: Eukaryota; Metazoa; Chordata; Mammalia; Artiodactyla; Suidae.